AACGAACGCUGGCGGCAUGCCUAACACAUGCAAGUCGAACGGGACCUGCCCUUCUAGUGGCGCCCAGGGGCGUAACGCGGGGGAAUAUGCCCUUAGGUUCGGAAUAGCUCCGCGUAACGGGGCCUAAUCCCGGAUAAUGUCGCCGGAGCAAAGAGUUAACGCGGUUGGAUGGGCCCGCGUUGGAUUAGCUGGUUGGUAGGGUAAAAGCCUACCAAGGCGAUGAUCCAUAGCUGGUCUGAGAGGAUGAUCAGCCACACCGGGACUGGGACACGGCCCAGACUCUUACGGGAGGGAGCAGUGGCGGAUACAGGAAUGCGGGGGGAAGGCUGAACCAGCAAUGGUGGUAGAGUGAUGAAGGCCGUAGGGAAGUAAAUCCCUUUUACCCGGGAUGAUAAUGACAGUACCGGAAGAAUAAGCUCCGGCUAACUCCGUG
RNAcentral lists this ribosomal RNA (433 nucleotides) under uncultured bacterium. RNAcentral's name for it is "partial 16S ribosomal RNA". It matches the Rfam family "Bacterial small subunit ribosomal RNA", at positions 29 to 507 of the family's 1533-position model. The record is from RNAcentral.